Molecule: ribosomal RNA, 468 nt
Filed under: uncultured bacterium
Lineage: Bacteria
Description: partial 16S ribosomal RNA
Rfam family: Bacterial small subunit ribosomal RNA
Source: RNAcentral
GACGAACGCUGGCGGCGUGCUUAACACAUGCAAGUCGAACGGAAAGGCCCUGCUUUUGUGGGGUGCUCGAGUGGCGAACGGGUGAGUAACACGUGAGUAACCUGCCCUUGACUUUGGGAUAACUUCAGGAAACUGGGGCUAAUACCGGAUAGGAGCUCCUGCUGCAUGGUGGGGGUUGGAAAGGUUCGGCGGUUGGUGAUGGACUCGCGGGGGAUCAGCUUGUUGGUGGGGUAGUGGCUUACCAAGGCUUUGACGGGUAGCCGGCCUGAGAGGGUGACCGGCCACAUUGGGACUGAGAUACGGCCCAGACUCCUACGGGAGGCAUCAGUCCGGCCUCUUGCCCCCUGGGCGGCCGCCUGCUGCAGCAACCCCGCGUGCGGGAUGACGGCCUUCGGGUUGUAAACCGCUUUCGCCUGUGACGAAGCGUCAGUGACGGUAAUGGGUAAAGAAGCACCGGCUAACUACGUG